UACAGAGGGGGCGAGCGUUAUUCGGAAUUAUUGGGCGUAAAGGGCGCGUAGGCGGCUUUUCAAGUGACGGGUGAAAUCCCUCGGCUUAACCGAGGAACUGCCUGUCAGACUGGAAGGCUUGAGACCGGGAGAGGUGAGUGGAAUUCCCAGUGUAGCGGUGAAAUGCGUAGAUAUUGGGAGGAACACCAACGGCGAAAGCACUCUGCUGGGCCGACACUGACACUGAGAGACGAAAGCUAGGGGAGCGAAUGGG
Molecule: ribosomal RNA, 253 nt
Filed under: uncultured bacterium
Lineage: Bacteria
Description: partial 16S ribosomal RNA
Rfam family: Bacterial small subunit ribosomal RNA
Source: RNAcentral